UCGCCUGUUUAACAAAAACAUGUCUUUUUGAUAAUUAUUUAAAGUCUGGCCUGCCCAAUGAUUAAUUAAAUGGCCGCAGUAUUUUGACUGUGCAAAGGUAGCAUAAUCAUUAGUUUCUUAAUUAGAAGCUGGAAUGAAUGGUUUGAUGAAAAAUUAACUGUCUUUAUUUUGUUAUUAUAAAAUUUUAUUUUUAAGUUAAAAAGCUUUAAUUUUAUAUAAAGACGAGAAGACCCUAUAGAGUUUUAGGAUUAAUUUUAUAAUUUAUUAUUUAUUAUUCUUUUGGUUGGGGUGACUUGAAAAUUUAUUAAACUUUUUAUUUUUUUUACAAUUAUUUUUGAUUUAUUGUUCCUUUUUACUGAUUAUAAGAUUAAAUUACCUUAGGGAUAACAGCGUAAUUUUUUUUGAAAGUUCUUAUUGAUAAAAAAGUUUGCGACCUCGAUGUUGGAUUAAAAUAAAUAUUUGGUGCAGUAGCUUAAAUAUUGGGUCUGUUCGACCUUUAAAAUUUUACAUGAUCUGAGUUCAAACCGG
RNAcentral lists this ribosomal RNA (528 nucleotides) under Pseudocistela ceramboides. RNAcentral describes it as "partial 16S ribosomal RNA". It matches the Rfam family "Bacterial large subunit ribosomal RNA", at positions 1796 to 2619 of the family's 2925-position model. Lineage: Eukaryota; Metazoa; Arthropoda; Insecta; Coleoptera; Tenebrionidae. The record is from RNAcentral.